RNAcentral lists this unclassified non-coding RNA (334 nucleotides) under soil metagenome. RNAcentral's name for it is "partial contains 5.8S ribosomal RNA, internal transcribed spacer 2, and large subunit ribosomal RNA". The stretch from base 1 to 120 matches the Rfam family "5.8S ribosomal RNA", at positions 35 to 154 of the family's 154-position model. The record is from RNAcentral.
GAUGAAGAACGCAGCGAAAUGCGAUAAGUAAUGUGAAUUGCAGAAUUCAGUGAAUCAUCGAAUCUUUGAACGCACAUUGCGCCCGCCAGUAUUCUGGCGGGCAUGCCUGUUCGAGCGUCAUUUCAACCAUCAAGCCCCCGGCUUGUGUUGGGGACCUGCGGCUGCCGCAGGCCCUGAAAUGCAGUGGCGGGCUCGCUAUCACACCGAGUGCAGUAGAUUACUCUUCGCUCAGGGCGUGUGGCGGGUUCCAGCCGUGAAACCCCCUACUUCUCAAGGUUGACCUCGGAUCAGGUAGGAAUACCCGCUGAACUUAAGCAUAUCAAUAAGCGGAGGA